UACGUAGGGUGCGAGCGUUAAUCGGAAUUACUGGGCGUAAAGCGUGCGCAGGCGGCGCGUUAAGACAGGUGUGAAAGCCCCGAGCUCAACUUGGGAAUUGCGCUUGUGACUGGCGUGCUGGAGUGUGGCAGAGGGAGGUGGAAUUCCACGUGUAGCAGUGAAAUGCGUAGAGAUGUGGAGGAACACCGAUGGCGAAGGCAGCCUCCUGGGCCAGCACUGACGCUCAUGCACGAAAGCGUGGGGAGCAAACAGG
Molecule: ribosomal RNA, 253 nt
Filed under: uncultured bacterium
Lineage: Bacteria
Description: partial 16S ribosomal RNA
Rfam family: Bacterial small subunit ribosomal RNA
Source: RNAcentral